This 73-nucleotide transfer RNA is filed under the name Ailuropoda melanoleuca (giant panda). It matches the Rfam family "tRNA". Rfam says of the family: Transfer RNA (tRNA) molecules are approximately 80 nucleotides in length. Lineage: Eukaryota; Metazoa; Chordata; Mammalia; Carnivora; Ursidae. The record is from Rfam by way of RNAcentral.
GCCUGGCUGGCUCCGUGGGAAGAACAUGAGACUUUUGAUCUCGGGGUUAUGAGUUCAAGCCCCAUGUUGGGUA